GACGAACGCUGGCGGCGUGCUUAACACAUGCAAGUCGAACGGAAAGGCCCUGCUUUUGUGGGGUGCUCGAGUGGCGAACGGGUGAGUAACACGUGAGUAACCUGCCCUUGACUUUGGGAUAACUUCAGGAAACUGGGGCUAAUACCGGAUAGGAGCUCCUGCUGCAUGGUGGGGGUUGGAAAGUUUCGGCGGUUGGGGAUGGACUCGCGGCUUAUCAGCUUGUUGGUGGGGUAGUGGCUUACCAAGGCUUUGACGGGUAGCCGGCCUGAGAGGGUGACCGGCCACAUUGGGACUGAGAUACGGCCCAGACUCCUACGGGAGGCAGCAGUGGGGAAUAUUGCACAAUGGGCGGAAGCCUGAUGCUGCAACGCCGCGUGCGGGAUAACGGCCUUCGGGUUGUAAACCGCUUUCGCCUGUGACGAAGCGUGAGUGACGGUAAUGGGUAAAGAAGCACCGGCUAACUACGUG
RNAcentral lists this ribosomal RNA (468 nucleotides) under uncultured bacterium. RNAcentral's name for it is "partial 16S ribosomal RNA". It matches the Rfam family "Bacterial small subunit ribosomal RNA", at positions 28 to 507 of the family's 1533-position model. The record is from RNAcentral.